GGCGAUAGAUCAUUCAAGUUUCUGACCUAUCAGCUUUCGACGGUAGUGUAUUGGACUACCGUGGCAGUGACGGGUAACGGGGAAUUAGGGUUCGAUUCCGGAGAGGGAGCCUGAGAAACGGCUACCACAUCUAAGGAAGGCAGCAGGCGCGCAAAUUACCCAAUCCUGACUCAGGGAGGUAGUGACAAGAAAUAACAACACUGGAAAUUUUAUUUCUAGUGAUUGGAAUGAUGGGAAUCUAAACCCCUUUCAGAGUAACAAUUGGAGGGCAAGUCUGGUGCCAGCAGCCGCGGUAAUUCCAGCUCCAAUAGCGUAUAUUAAAGUUGUUGCAGUUAAAAAGCUCGUAGUUGGAUAUCUGCUGGAAGCAAUCAGUCCGCCCUAUUUAGGGUGUGCACUUGAUGAAUUCUGGCAUCUAUUAUUCCUAAUAUUAUACUGAUGACUUUCAGUAGUCAUCAUUGGUGUUAGGAAUAAUACAGUUACUUUGAGAAAAUUAGAGUGUUUGAAGCAGGCUUAUUGCCUUGAAUACUGCAGCAUGGAAUAACAAUAUAGGAUUUCGGUUCUAUUUUGUUGGUUUCUAGGACUGAAAUAAUGGUUAAUAGGGACAGUUGGGGGCAUUCGUAUUUAACUGUCAGAGGUGAAAUUCUUAGAUUUGUUAAAGACGAACUACUGCGAAAGCAUUUGCCAAGGAUGUUUUCAUUAAUCAAGAACGAAAGUUAGGGGCUCGAAGACGAUCAGAUACCGUCGUAGUCUUAACCAUAAACUAUGCCGACUAGAGAUAG
RNAcentral lists this ribosomal RNA (779 nucleotides) under Sarcocystis bovifelis. RNAcentral describes it as "SSU rRNA". It matches the Rfam family "Eukaryotic small subunit ribosomal RNA", at positions 286 to 1055 of the family's 1831-position model. The record is from RNAcentral. Lineage: Eukaryota; Apicomplexa; Conoidasida; Eucoccidiorida; Sarcocystidae.